AGAAUUAGCAUGGCCCCUGCACAUAGAUGACAUGAAAAUUUGUGAAGCAUUACAUUUUUUU
Molecule: small nuclear RNA, 61 nt
Filed under: Cercocebus atys (sooty mangabey)
Lineage: Eukaryota; Metazoa; Chordata; Mammalia; Primates; Cercopithecidae
Source: RNAcentral